This 21-nucleotide microRNA is filed under the name Anolis carolinensis (green anole). Its description in RNAcentral is "aca-miR-146b-3p". Its record names the gene aca-miR-146b-3p. Lineage: Eukaryota; Metazoa; Chordata; Lepidosauria; Squamata; Anolidae. The record is from miRBase by way of RNAcentral.
UCCAUAAUGCUCAGUUUUCCA